Chelonia mydas (Green sea turtle) is the source of this 1157-nucleotide long non-coding RNA. RefSeq lists it as uncharacterized. The transcript is spliced from 4 exons. The record is from RefSeq and is a predicted model, not a curated record. Lineage: Eukaryota; Metazoa; Chordata; Testudines; Cheloniidae.
AGGGCGAGGAGGGGAGUUGAAAGCACCCUGACGGCGAUUGGAAGAGCAGGGGAGUGACGUAUACUGAGCCAAACCAAUUAAAAAGUCGUGUCCCGCCUUAACCGGAGAGCGCCUGACGCGGGUGUCGAUCAGCGGGGAGCGGCGCAUGCGUGGUCAUCCGUUUCUGGAACAGUGUUGGAAUCCGAAGGCUGGAUGAACACUAUGGGAAUAUUCUCAGACGUCCAUCCCUUAGGAGUCCUGUUGAAGGACCUCCUGGUAGAAAGAGGGUUAGCGAGGAUCAUGAACCUGGGAUCAUUUAGCAGCAGUAGAUUAAAAUCUGCCUUUUCUGAUUCUACCUCAUUUUCACAUCAUUCCAAGAAGAGCCAACUCUGGUUCCAAAAAUUGAUCCUGGCAAGGUGAGCUGUGCAGAGACCUGCCCCUGACACACCCACACACUCUGGAGAAAGUAGGACUCGAGUGAUAUCGCCUCACCCACCAGGAUGCCUUGGGGAAAAACUGAAGAGGAUUGGAACCAUGCGGAGACACCAUUGGGUAGGACCAUCUGAAGAAGCGGCCAAAGCAGGAACCUUUGGACAUUCUAGAGACCUUUCUACAGUUUCCACUGGACUUUCUCUUGCAUGUGCUGAUUGGCUGUUUCUUCCAACCCUCUCCUUCCCCUCCCUCACAGUCUCUUCACCUCAGCUUCAUUCCCUCUUACCUUCUUCUCCCAGUCCCUAUGCUCUCCCCCUCGCCUCCUUCUCUUCAAUGUCCCCACUCCCUUUACUUUCCUUUUAAUUUAACCGUUUCCCUCCUAACUAAACCCAGUCAUAAAAAAUAUAUAAAUCAUGGCACUAACAAAAUGUUUGCUGCUGUCUGCUUGUGUGUUAUACACUUUCCCCUGUCCUAUGUCUAUCUUGUCUAUUUAGAUUGUAAGCAAUUUUGGGACACAGACUGCCUGCUAGACUGCGCUAAGACAGUGCCUGCCUCUUGCAAGUUGAGGGCACUCGACACUUGGCAGGAGACACUUAGCAUUUUGUAGGAUCGGAUCCAGGGUUUAUAAAUCAAUAAAGCAAAGCACUAGCCAGCUGGACUGGAUUCCUUAGUGUUUUGGAAGCAAUAGAUUGGGACGGGAGAGGCCUGAGCAAGGACUGAUCUAGUUGGAGAGGAAGAACCAGUCA